Carassius auratus (goldfish) is the source of this 481-nucleotide long non-coding RNA. RefSeq lists it as uncharacterized. The transcript has 2 exons. Lineage: Eukaryota; Metazoa; Chordata; Actinopteri; Cypriniformes; Cyprinidae. The record is from RefSeq and is a predicted model, not a curated record.
AUGAUCACUUAUGCUGAGCCAACUUUCUACAAAAGAAAAGCACAAUCGAGAACUGAAGAGGAGACUCACGUAGCGUAUGCAUCUGUCGCCAUAAGAAGAUGAUCAUUCUAAGAACCUGCUCCAGCUGUGUGAUAACUCUCACUUAAACUUCUGUAUUCAGUCUAUUAUUGAGUUUUGAGAUUGUUCAACAUUUAUAAAGACAACGUGAUAUAAAACCCACAAUACUUUAAUUAAUCUCUGGAACACAAAUUAGUUAUUUUUAAUGUUCUAUUAUCUUUUUUUUUCAUCCAUUAAUUUACUUGAUAUGGAAGAAUGAUCCUAAUUAUUUCUUGCACAUCAGAUAUGCAGGUUUAAGUUUCUAUGUUUAGCAUAUUUGAUUUGCUCAACACAUGUGCAUCAAAGUUUCUAUGUGAAUCAAAGCAUAAUGUGUUUAUGAACUAUUUGGAGCUUGAAGAGGUUGCUUGCGUGGACUUUCAGUGGA